Bolinopsis microptera is the source of this 415-nucleotide long non-coding RNA. RefSeq lists it as uncharacterized. The transcript is spliced from 4 exons. The record is from RefSeq and is a predicted model, not a curated record. NCBI's taxonomy places the organism in Eukaryota, Metazoa, Ctenophora, Tentaculata, Lobata, Bolinopsidae.
AACUCGUAACGCUUUCAUUAUAUAUUAUCAAGCCGUACUACAUUCAGCUUGGUUGGAAAUGCUUAAUGAUUAUCCCGUGAUGAAGGAAGAAUUGGAGUCUGCUAAAAAAGAAGGGAAGGAAGCUUUUCUUACAAAAUUAAGGUUUAAUGUGAAGUUACUGUUAAAACGUAUCCUUCAGUUCAACAAAUCCCAAUGGGUCAGAAAUAGACCAUUACUAUCUUGCAGACAUUGUCAGCAAGAGUACAAUAAUAGAGGAUUACUGCAACUACAUUUAAGGGAUAAACAUCAAUUGAAGGAUGAGUCUGCAGCGGCCAUCAUCGAAGCGGACUUUAGCCACCUUUUCGAAAUCGAUGAACUGUUCAAUUAUGGAAGAUUAGUCGUAUAUUUAGGCUUGCUUUUAAGCAACUUAGAGAAG